GGUGACUAGUGAGAGUGAGGAAGGGGGACUAGUGAGGGAGGGGGUGACUAGUGACAGAGUGAGGGAGCAGGUGACACAGUGACAGAGUUAGGGAGGGAGUGGCUAGUAACUAGUGACAGUCACUCCCUCCCUCACUCUGUCACUAGUCACCCCCUCCCUCUGUCACUAGUCACCCUCUCCCUCUGUCAUCAGUCAUCCCCUCACUCUGUCACUAGUCAUCCCCUCACUCUGUCACUAGUCACCCCUUCCCUCCCUCACUUUGCCACUAGUCAUCUCUUCCCUCCCUCACU
This is a non-coding RNA of Pelobates cultripes (western spadefoot toad), 290 nucleotides long. NCBI's taxonomy places the organism in Eukaryota, Metazoa, Chordata, Amphibia, Anura, Pelobatidae. The record is from the annotation of a GenBank genome assembly.